UACAGAGGUCUCAAGCGUUGUUCGGAUUCAUUGGGCGUAAAGGGUGCGUAGGCGGCGCGGUAAGUCUGGGGUGAAAUCUCGGGGCUUAACUCCGAAACUGCAUUCGAUACUGCCGUGCUUGAGGACUGGAGAGGAGACUGGAAUUUACGGUGUAGCGGUGAAAUGCGUAGAUAUCGUAAGGAAGACCAGUGGCGAAGGCGGGUCUCUGGACAGUUCCUGACGCUGAGGCACGAAGGUCAGGGGAGCAAACGGG
Molecule: ribosomal RNA, 253 nt
Filed under: uncultured bacterium
Lineage: Bacteria
Description: partial 16S ribosomal RNA
Rfam family: Bacterial small subunit ribosomal RNA
Source: RNAcentral